GGAUCUGUCAGCAUGAAGGUGGGGAUGGGUGUCCAGGGCUGUGAAUGUAGCUCCUGGGGGCGGGCCCAGCAGAUGCCAGGAUCAAGGCAGAGUCUUUAGAGGAAGAAUCACAAAGAGCCUGGGGCUGGCUGGAAUUUUCUCCCGUGCAGCCGUCCAGCGUCCCAUGGCAUCUCAGUGUGUGAAGCCCUUUGUAUACUUCCCUGGAAUGUAGCUUUUAUUUUGUAACAAAGCAAAUGUUUUACUGUUGGUUUUCGUUUAACAAAUAAAUAUUGGCUCCAACACAUGUCAGAGAAAGUCGACAACAAUAAA
Molecule: non-coding RNA, 309 nt
Filed under: Pongo abelii (Sumatran orangutan)
Lineage: Eukaryota; Metazoa; Chordata; Mammalia; Primates; Hominidae
Source: RNAcentral